UAAAGUAAGACUCCACUUGAUCUACAAACUAGAAUAUGGCAUUUCAAUAUUUUGAAAUUAACAUCACAUAUAUUUUAGGACCGAAAGAAAAUUGAAGCGUAAGGGCUAUCCAAUGAGCAAGUGCUUGAUACACACUUCCCAAUGGCAGAAGCGGCGGCUCUGCCCAGGAUUUGUGCAAGGCGUUUUCUACCUUCUGAACCUAAGGGCAUAGGUGCGACGGCUGGUAGAGCUGGUUCUGCUGCUGUGGCUUCGUUGGAUACCAGGAAAGUGUAACUUCCUGUUUCAUUCAAGGAUGCUGUGCUGCCCAGUAUAGUGAAAAAGAGCUCUUCUUCCCUUGUUCCUCACCUUUGUCGGGGUCUAUUUGAGGGCUGUGGAUGACUGCUGCAACGAAUCGCCCAAGACUCAAACCAUCCAAGAUAGGUAGACAAACAUUAAAGGUGUGGCACAAUAGGAAAAUGAACUUCAUAGUGGAAAGAAAAAAGCAGGGCAGCGUGGAGAUUGAAGACAAGCAUUCCUGCAUAUCUAAUUAAAUGUGAAAAUCCUCAAAGAGCAAAAAGACCAAAAGUUAGUUUAUGGUUUGACUCAUUCCUUGAAUUUAUUUGUUCUGAUAUUUCUGAUCAGAAUACAUAUAUACUGCAAAAAUUUAUUAUACUUACAUGAUGCAAAUUAGAUUUUUGUCCAUACCAAUGUAGGAUUAUUGUGUUUCCACCUAAAUCUCCAGAAAAUCCACAAUGCAGAGGCUGCAAAAUAAUCAGUUUUGGUUUUUUCGUGAGCAUACAUUAGCAAUUUUUUGGAUGAAAAGAGACAUUUAAAUACCACCAAGAUCACUGCGCAAAGACUUAUCAUUUAAAAAAAAAGUUCAAUUCCUCCUCUAAAGUACAGAAAGUUUCAACUUCCUCGAGAAAGUAGAAUGUUGGAACAAUCAUAGCAACACCUGAUGGAUGUCUCCUACAAAGUGUGACAGAAAGAGUAAUGCUUCAGUCAAAUUAUCUGCAAAAUUCAGGGAAAUCUUUAAGUGAGCAAAUUAGAUGUCUCUGAAAAAAUGUUCUUUUGAUCAAAAGCUACCAAUUAAAUAGAUAAUAAAAAGUCACAUGGUGGACCGGCUAAACUAGGAUGAUUCCUUAAGAAUGAACUUACAUGUUGCAUCAGACGAUUUGCCAUAUGUUGCAAGCUGGGCAGUGUAAUUAUUGAUAGCCCCUGCAAGGCACAUGCCUUCUUCUCCUUGUGUGUUGUGGCAAUCCCCUGUUUUGUAUACAGACAAAGAUAAUAGUGGAUAUCAAUGUCUAACGCUUGGAUGCAAAUUUAUGUUUUAUACAUGGAUUGGAAAUAUACAUAUUCAUCA
This is a long non-coding RNA of Cryptomeria japonica (Japanese cedar), 1342 nucleotides long. RefSeq lists it as uncharacterized. The record is from RefSeq and is a predicted model, not a curated record. The transcript has 2 exons. NCBI's taxonomy places the organism in Eukaryota, Viridiplantae, Streptophyta, Pinopsida, Cupressales, Cupressaceae.